GUUUUAGUAAUUUAAUAAAAAAUAUUGGUCUUGUAAACCAAAAAUAAGAGUCUCUUCUAAAACU
This 64-nucleotide transfer RNA is filed under the name Calcaritermes temnocephalus. RNAcentral describes it as "tRNA-Thr". It matches the Rfam family "tRNA". Rfam says of the family: Transfer RNA (tRNA) molecules are approximately 80 nucleotides in length. Their secondary structure includes four short double-helical elements and three loops (D, anti-codon, and T loops). Lineage: Eukaryota; Metazoa; Arthropoda; Insecta; Blattodea; Kalotermitidae. The record is from RNAcentral.